AAAUAAGAAACAAAUAAUUGUAAUCAGUUUCGACCUGAAAGUAGAUAAUAAAAAAAUUAUCCUUAUUUU
Molecule: transfer RNA, 69 nt
Filed under: Caliris sp. JZ-2017
Lineage: Eukaryota; Metazoa; Arthropoda; Insecta; Mantodea; Haaniidae
Description: tRNA-Arg
Source: RNAcentral